CAUAAAUACCGUUUUCCCCUAACACUAUCGGUGGUCUCCUUUUCCGGCACCAAAGCCCGUCAUUCUUCCAUCUACGUUUUUAAUAUCGGAUUUAGGGACAUCUACUGAUGACAUUUCAAAUGCAUUCGAUUAAACCCUUUUUGCACAUGAUUGCCAUCGAUUAUAAAUUAGAAGGACCAACUUUUGAAAUUGAAUGUGAUAUCGGUUUGACCGGAGUGAUGAAAUCUAGAAGUAUGCGUUGAAAGAAGAUAUGCACCGAACCAAUCGACGUACGUCAUAUGACGAUGGAAUUGUCAAAUUGAAAAUGGUAGCCGGAAGACGUCAAAAGCAAAAAAUUGCAAGUCUUUGACAGUGAAGACAUUAUCAGAGUUGCAGAAAAAUUCAUGAAUGAUAGGUUCGAGGACUCCAAUGAAGAAGAGAACAAUAGGGAAUCGAUAUUUGUAUGUUGAAGGAUUAUGAUUAGCUGAUUUUUAGGGAUUGCAUAUCUCUACAAAAGUUUGAAAUUUAUGUUUACAUAUAUGAAACUUAAUUUAAAUGCAGUUUAAUUGGAUAUUGAAACUGAUUUCCUUAAUCUUAGGAGCUGAUUAAUUGACAAUCACAACAAUGCAUGGGCGGGAAAAUCAUUCUAAGAAUAUAUGUGGUAAUGACACGUG
Molecule: long non-coding RNA, 653 nt
Organism: Lactuca sativa (garden lettuce)
Lineage: Eukaryota; Viridiplantae; Streptophyta; Magnoliopsida; Asterales; Asteraceae
Source: RefSeq, a predicted model, not a curated record